GCCUCCGUAGAUUAAUGAUAAAUCCCCUUGGAUCUAUACCAAAGGAUGAAACUGGUUCUCAAGAGAUGUGGGUUCGAAUCCCACCGGAGGCA
Molecule: non-coding RNA, 92 nt
Organism: Mycena maculata
Lineage: Eukaryota; Fungi; Basidiomycota; Agaricomycetes; Agaricales; Mycenaceae
Source: the annotation of a GenBank genome assembly